This 1042-nucleotide long non-coding RNA is filed under the name Vigna radiata. RNAcentral's name for it is "long non-coding RNA (VRAD_LNC012953)". The record is from RNAcentral. Lineage: Eukaryota; Viridiplantae; Streptophyta; Magnoliopsida; Fabales; Fabaceae.
AAUUUUGACUUUUCUUCCUUAAAUGAACAUGCAAUGUGUGUUGACUUCUUAUCUAUGUGCUCCAUACUUCAAGACAACAAACAUAUGCCUUCCACAUCAACUAAAACCGUCCACCACCCUUUGCAUGCAGCAAAAAUUAUGGUUCCACACACCAAGGCUCAUAAAUCACGUGAACAAUGCAAAGGGUUACAAGAGAAAUUGCUUCCAAACCAAAGGGUAAAAGGAUUCAACCUCAAAUGCUACUUCCAAUGUGCCAAGUAAGCAAAACCCAAGGAAAAAAAACAACAAACACUCCAUUCCCUUAGCCAUUCUCGGUCAAAACAAGGAUUAAGACAAAACUUAAAGAGGAAAUGUUCCCUUAGCAAAAGUAGCUCCAUGUGUGCUUGGCCAAAUCGGGUAAAAAAUUAAUUACACCUUCUCUCUUCCUUCUCCACUCCAUUUUCGUUUUUCUUCAACAAACAAGCUUUCAAAUUGUUUCUUCCCAUCUCCAAACCGUGAACACACUCCAAGGAACCCAAAGCUCAAUUGCAAAAUGAUUCAAGAACAAUAAACCAAGUUCUACCUUCAUAAAUCCAACUUCAAAACACACUUUUCUUCAACUUUUUGACCCAAACAAAACCAAACCCCUAUGCUUCCUAUGCAAUAUCGUCCAGCCACCAUCAUCAAGCACAAAGUCCAGCUCCAAAUUUGUUUCCCAACAUCAAAAACAAAAUGCUAGAAGAAAAUGGCUCAAGAAUACAAUACCCAUGCACCAACUUAAGCCUUUUUCACUACCAAACUUGACAACAACUCCAUUUUCAUCCUCCAAUCCAAGAAACUCAAGGUAAAAACGAGAUUACUGCAGCAAAAUGAGGAGAAAACCGAAAUGGACAAUGGGUCUUCCUUCCACCAAAGAAACCACCAUGAAAAAGCAAAGAAGAAGCUUCAAACUCAAGCAUUCAACCUUCAAAACGAAAAUCUAAAGAGAGAAAUGGUAGAGCUUCAUUCAAUCAAGCAAGAACAAACGUUGUUGCAAACAAUAGAAGAAGAAAAACGAAAAGGG